CGCUUUAACUUCUCGCCGAGAGCAGUUGCCCUGCCUUUCCACCCCCGCUGUUCUGGCAAUGGUUUGUCCUGGAGCAAAGCAUAAAGGGAACCGAAGGCGGGGAAAGAAGCCCUUCUCUUUCUUGCGCGCGAGCGAGGUUGCGUUUCGGCAGUAAUGGAGGCAAAGUGGCGCACAGGCCUCUGGGCCCAGGCGCGCGGCGCUACCUUGGAGGGUCCCCGGAGGGAAGUGGGAGCGCGGCGACUGCCGCGACCGAGUCGUGACUUUGCUCUGGCAGGGCGCGUACUUGGUAGCCGAUCGUGAAACACGUGACAAGCGGGAACACGUGAUGUAAGCAGAAACAGCUGCCAUUUUGAAUGUCAAAUAAUGUGUAGGAUGCAGAUCAACCAGAGAGGUGCUGGGCUGAUCAUGGUUCCACUUCUGGAUCUUACUAGCUGAAGCAGCAUUUCAUUACGGAACAUUUGAGGCUGUAGAAUGAGUGAACCCGAAAGUAAAAGACAGAAGAUUGACUUUUUGCAUAACGACCGUCAAAAGAAGCCAUUGUUCUGAGGCAGUUCACAGCAACUGUGCGCUAGGCCUGCAGCGCAAUCCAAGAAUAGUGCUGUGGCAUCUUUCAAACCUGCAGAUUUAUUUCCCAAGGGGAAAAAAGUCUUUUGAGGAUGGCAAGCUGUUGAAAGAGGCAUUUUUGGCUGCUGCUAUUUUUCAAAUAAAAAGGAAAUAAUUGCAGCAAUUUGAACAUCAUACCAUUUCUGGAUGAAAUGGGACAAUCUCAAACACCAGUUGUAAAAUACUUUACAGAAAUGUCUUUGGACUUCACUUCAGUUUGAGGAAUCCAAAGACAUAGCAGAUUUCCCAGCUGGCAGUCAUUGCAAAGAUGAUAUUCAGUGACCUUUCUCUGAAAGAAGAGCUAUUCAAAUCCCUGUAUUUGAAAGAAAGAACAAGAGGUGAGGAUAUAUCUCAAAAGCUAUCUUCUGGAAACAAUUUUGCCUUUUCACAAAUUGACAUCUAUCAGUACUUGACGGGACACUAACUAUAGCGCACUUCACUAAAGAGUUUAUUGUCCUUUGCAAGAAAGGGUAAACAUCUUCCAACUUCAUUUCAUAUUCAUCAGAAUGUAUUCGGUGCUCGACUUGUGCAAUUCAAACUUGUUCUAGAUUUUGCUGCAAAAAUAUAAAUUCUACUCCGGCUGUCUCCUUGCAGCACAGGCUUUUUAUUGCAAUACUAUGGAAGAUGUUAGCACUGAUGUUGAGAACAUCAGCCUCAUUUCACAAACUUCAGGUGCUUAGAUAAUACUUACUUGGAUAAUAGAGCAAAGGUACUGGCUGUACACUGUGUGCGCAAUUAUUAGGCAAGUGAGUAUUUUGACCAUAGCAUCAUUUUUAUGCAUAUUUUCCACCUCCAAACUGUAUAAACCUGAAUGCUUAUUGGAUAUAAGCAUAGCAAGUGAUGUGUAUUUGUGUAAUGAGGGAGGGUGUGACCUAAGGAGGUCAACACCCUAUAUCAAGGUGUGCAUAAUUAUUAGGCAGCAGCUUUUCCUCAGGCAAAAUGGGCCAAAAAAGAGAUUUAACUUGACUCUUAAAAGUCAGAGGGAUGCAGCGCUCUUGAAAUUGCUAAGAUAUUGGGGCGUGACCACAGAACCAUAAAAAGUUUUGUUGCAAAUAGUCAACAGGGUUGCAAGAAACGUGUUGAGAAAAAGAUGCAAAUUAGCUGCCAAAGGUUUGAAAAGAAUCAAACGUGAAGCUAUCAGGAACCCAUUAUCCUUCAGUGCUGUCAUAUUCCAGAACUGCAACCUACCUGGAAUGCCCAGAAGUACAAGGUGUUCAGUGCUCAGAGACAUGGCCAAGGUAAGGAAGGCUGAAACUCCACCACCACUGAAGAAGACACAUAAGUUGAAAUGGCAAGACUGGGCCAAGAAAUAUCUGGAGACAGAUUUUUCAAAGGUUUUAUGGACUGAUGAGAUGAAAGUGCCUCUUGACAGACCAGAUGGAUGGGCCCGUGGCUGGAUCAGUAACAGGCACAGAGCGCCACAUCAACUCAGAUGCCAGCAAGGUGGAGGUGGGGUACUGGUAUGGGCUGGUGGUAUUAAAGAUGAGCUAGUUGGACCUUUUCGGGUUGAAGAUGGACUCCGAAUCAACUCCCAAACGUACUGCCAGUUUUUAGAAGACACUUUCUUCAAGCAGUGGUACAGGAGAAGUCUGCAUCUUUCAAGAAGACCAUGAUGUUUAUGCAGGACAAUGCUCUAUCACAUGCAUCGAAGUACUCCACUGCGUGGCUAGCCAGUAAAGGGCUCAAACAUGAAAGAAUAAUGACAUGGCCCCCUUCCUCACCUGACCUAAACCCUAUUGAGAACUUGUGGGCCCUUCUCAAACGGGAGAUGUACGGUGAAGGAAAACAGUACACCUCUCUGAACAGUGUCUGGGAGGCUGUGGUUGCUGCUGCACAAAAAGUUGAUCGUCAACAGAUCAAGAAACUGACAAGACUCGAAUGGAAGGCUUAUGACUCUUAUUGCAAAGGAUGGCUAUAUUGGUCACUGAUUUUUUGUUUGCAAUGUCAGAAAUGUUUAUUUGUAAAUUUUGAGUUGUUUGUGUAUUCUCACUUUAACAGGUGAAAAUAAACGAGUGAGAUAGGGCAAUUCUCGUUUUUCAUUUAGUUGCAUAAUAAUUCUGCACACUAAGUUACCCAAUAAUUGCACACACACGCGCGCUCCUAAGAAAGCCAAAACCUCACUUUCACUUUCUUAAAUAUUCAGGUUUGAGGUUUAUUAACAUUUUUGGAUUGAGAGCACUGUAGUUCAAUAAUGAAAUUCAUCCUCAAAAAUACAACUUGCCUAAUUGUGCAUGCAGUGUAUUUUAAAAUCUGAUUGAUGAAAUAACGUUUAUAAUGUUUCACUGUUGAGCAGUUUGAGGACAACCUUUGGCUACUGGACUUAGCUUUCCUCUCUGAUUUGAUGCAAAAGGUUUCUUUGAAUGCAGCCAAAUUUUGCUGUACUGUUUGUAAAACCAGGUAUUUUUUUUAUUAAUGAUCAUGAAGUAAACUAUUUUGUUUUAUCUGUUAA
This is a long non-coding RNA of Candoia aspera, 3052 nucleotides long. RefSeq lists it as uncharacterized. The record is from RefSeq and is a predicted model, not a curated record. The transcript is spliced from 5 exons. NCBI's taxonomy places the organism in Eukaryota, Metazoa, Chordata, Lepidosauria, Squamata, Candoiidae.